AUGAGGUUCGUCCACGACGACUGCCAGCUCCAAUGGAUCGCCCGCCGCCGCAAACUCCCCCGCUGCGAGGUGUGCAGACGCCGCAUCUCCACCCGGCCUCUCUACGCCGCGGACGCCCCCGAGAGGCUGCCCGUUUCAGAGCUCAUGGCGGGUCUGCCCAGCAAGCUCAUCGGGCUCCUGCUCCCCCUCUUCUUCGCCGUCUGCGUCGUCCGGGAGUUUGUCGUUCCGCUCACCACCCGCUGGACGUGGCGCCUCGCGCUCGCCACCAACUUUGCUCAAGCGCGCCACCUGCUCUCCCUGCGCCUAUCCAUGGCCUCAUGGACCUGCAUCCCUGCUUCAGCUGCAUUCUGCUUGCAGUUUGCACGCUUGGUUGUGCCAUUUGCUGUAGCUCCAUUUGCGCGCUGGGUCGCACGCCUGCUAGCUCAGAUGCAAAGCCAGGCCCAGGAGCUUGGGUUAUUUGAGAGAUUGCAAUUCCUUGCGAUGUCUGUUGUCGAAGUUUCCUUGGUGGUGGUAAUAGUUGACGUGGCCCUUGCUUGUAUUCUUUGUUUUCUCCCAUUCUGUCUUGAUGUUCCCAUUCUGCCUUAG
Molecule: ribosomal RNA, 585 nt
Filed under: Triticum aestivum (bread wheat)
Lineage: Eukaryota; Viridiplantae; Streptophyta; Magnoliopsida; Poales; Poaceae
Description: partial small subunit ribosomal RNA
Source: RNAcentral